RNAcentral lists this long non-coding RNA (3128 nucleotides) under Elaeis guineensis (African oil palm). RNAcentral describes it as "long non-coding RNA (EGUI_LNC004510)". The record is from RNAcentral. Lineage: Eukaryota; Viridiplantae; Streptophyta; Magnoliopsida; Arecales; Arecaceae.
UUUAGUAUUCGAAUCUAUGGAGUCACGCACAAAAGUCAGACGAUGUGAAAAAAAUUGACCUAAGUCUAUAUGUUCAAUUUAAAAGUACAUGACUUGAUUGAACAAGUAGAUUAACUUGAUUGACAAUUAAGUUAUGGUCAUACGGGAUUAAACAGUUUACUAUGUUUAGCUAGCACUAAACAUGAGGUUCAGAUUCAAUUCUGAGAAUGAGCAAGAUUUGGUCUUUGAUCCAAAAAAAUCUAUGAGAGAUUGGAUUUAGGUGCUAAUUAAUUUCAGAUUAAAUCUGAUUUAAUUAGACUUAAUUGGAUUUCAAGUUAGACUUGGUCCUAAAUCGUAAAUAGUUUGAAAUUGACAGUCUAUUUGAAAUUGUUUCGAAUCAGGUUCGAAUUAAAUUCGAAUUGACCCAUAUUUGGAUUAGAUCCUUAGAGUCCACUUUUACUAGGACUCUCUCUCCUCAUGGCCGAUCAAGGGGUGAUGGGGUGUUGAUUGUUGCCGCCCCACCCUUGGAUGAAGGCAUGCGUGCGUGUAGGCGCCAAUCUUUCCUCGUUUAAGACUCCUUUGAUAAGAUAUGGAUUAAUUCAAAACCUGUUUGAAUUAAGAAUCCUAGUCUUAUGGGUUAUGAAAAAUCAUCUAUAAAUAAGAAGAAUCUCUAACUAUCAAAGUAUAACAAUUAGAUUGUGUGCUAAGGAGAGAGAGAGGAAGAGGAGGCAUCAAGAUAGAUUGGACAUCACCCAUCCUUGGACUCCCACCUUCCCACGGCGUGAAGGCCCUCUUAGGCAUCCCUCUUGCUAGUGUGAGUCAUCACACUAGAGGCUCUCUCUCCUCCCUUUGGUGCCUUACGAAGGUGCUUCAAUUCGAGGCUUCAUUCCGCUUUCCUGCGAAGCUUGAUGUGCACACGAAGUAGAGGGUUUGUAGAUUCAAACCUACGCGAGACUUUGAAUUCAAAAUCUUUGAGGAUUUGAUCCCUAUUCCGCUGCGUAUCAGGUAAAGAUCUAGUUUUUAUUUAGUUAUAGAAAAUUUUUAGAUGCAAUCCUGGCAAUCCAUCGUGUUUUUGAUAGAAACAGACUUUCUUUCACCUUCAACUCGUAUCAGAACCAGACUUUGAUACAUGGAUGCAUAAUUAAUCAUUUUUGAUUUAUUUACAUAUUGUAUGUAAUUAAGAUUUUAUGUUAGACAUUAAAUCUGAUUUAGAUCUAUUUAAAUAAAAUUUAUGAUCUGAUUUUGAUUAGAUUACAAGAAUCUAAUCAAUAGUUAGUUAAGAUUGUUAUAAAGUUGUUAUAACAUAAUUUUUCUUGUUGCUGAAUUUUGUUGGAAUAAUAAUCUGAUUUAAAAUCUAUUUUAAAUCUGUUUUAACAGAAUUUUAAAGUCGUUCUUUCGGUUAUGAAAUUGAACUUAUUUCAGAUCUGAAUUGAAUCUAUUUUGACAGAUUUUUAGAUCUGAUUUUUAAUAAAAUUCUGCAUAACAUCAAAUCAGAUCUAACCAAAAAAUUAAUCUUUAUGUGUUCAUAUGUUCUUAAAUAUUGCCUUGCGAUAAUUCGACCUAAUCGGACGUCGGGAACCAUUGUUAGAUGGUAACUUCGAUUAGUACAAAAAAUGAUUUCUGUGCUACCGGCUUAGUGUUCGAACCUAUGGAGUCAUGCACAAAAGUCAGACGAUGUGGAAAAGAAUUGAUCCAAGUCUAUAUGUUCAAUUUGGAAGUAGAUGACUUGAUUGAAUAAGUAGAUUAACUUGAUUGAGAAUUAAGUUAUGAAUCAUACAGGAUUAAACAGUUUACUAUGUCUAGCUAGCAUUAAACAUAAGGUUCAAAUUCAAUUCCGAAAAUGAGCAAGAUUUGGUCUUUGAUCCAAAGGAAUCUAUGAGAGAUUGGAUUUAAGUGCUAAUUAAUUUCAGAUUAGAUUUGAUUUAAUUAGACUUAAUUGGGUUCAUAAAUCCAAGUUAGACUUGGUCCUAAAUCCUAAAUAGUUUGGAAUUGACAGCCUAUUCGAAAUUAUUUCGAAUCAAGUUCGAAUUGAAUUCGAAUUGAUCCAUAUUUGGAUUAGAUCUUUAGAGUCCAUUUUUAUUAAGACUCUCUCUCCUCAUGGCCGACCAAAAGGCGAUGGGGUGCUGGUUGUUGCCGCCCCACCCUUGGAUGAAGGCGUGCAUGCAUGUAGGCGCCAAUCCUUCCUUGUUUAAGAUUCCUUAUUUGAUAAGAUAUGGAUUAAUUCAAAAUCUGUUUGAAUUAGAAAUCCCAGUCUUAUGGGUCAUGAAAAAUUAUCUAUAAAUAAAGAAACCUCUAACCAUCAAAGUAUAACAAUUAGAUUGUGUGCUAAGGAGAGAAAGAGAGGAAGAAGUGGCGUCAAGAUAGAUUGGGCAUCACCCAUCAUUGGCCUCCCACCUUCCCACGACGUGAAGGCCCUCUUAGGCAUCCCUCUUGCUGGUGUGAGUCAUCACACUAGAGGCUCUCUCUCCUCCCUUUGGUGUCUUGUGAAGGUGCUUCAAUUCGAAGCUUCAUUCCGUUUUCUUGCGAAGCUUGGUGUGCACGCGAAGUAGAAGAUUUGUGGAUUCAAACCUACGCGAGACUUUGGAUUCAAAAUCUUUGAGGAUUUGAUCCCUAUUCCGCUGCGUAUCAGGUAAAGAUCUAGUUUUUAUUAAGUUGUUAUAGAAAUUUUUUAGAUGCAACCCUGACAAUCCAUCGUGUUUUUGAUAGAAACAAGCUUUCUUUCACCUUCAACUGGUAUCAGAGCCGAACUUUGAUGCAUGAAUACAUAAUUAAUUAUUUUUUAUUUAUUUUCAUAUUUUAUGUAAUUAAGAUUUUAUGUUAGACAUUAAAUCUGAUUUAGAUCUAUUUAAAUAAAAUUUAUGAUCUGAUUUUGAUUAGAUUACAAGAACCUAAUCCAUAGUUGGUUCAGAUUGUUAUAAAAUUGUUAUAACAAAAUUUUUCUUGUUGCUGAAUUUUAUUGAAAUAACAAUCUGAUUUAAAAUCUAUUUUAAAUCUAUUUUAACAGAAUUUUAAAGUCGUUAUUUCGGUUAUGAAGUUGAACUUAUUUCAGAUCUGAAUUGAAUUUAUUUUGACAGAUUUUCAGAUCUGAUUUUUAAUAAAAUUCUGACAACGUCAAAUCAGAUCUAACCAGAAAAUUAAUCUUUAUGUGU